This 345-nucleotide ribosomal RNA is filed under the name Triticum aestivum (bread wheat). RNAcentral's name for it is "partial small subunit ribosomal RNA". Lineage: Eukaryota; Viridiplantae; Streptophyta; Magnoliopsida; Poales; Poaceae. The record is from RNAcentral.
AUGAAGAAUAAUCCAUUUUCAUAUAGGCACUUCACAAUGUACAUGCACGCGAUGGAAUUGGUGAGAUUAGGGGACACCAGUGUUGAUGCAUACAACCGUCUGAUGGAAUUGUUCAAAUCUAAUUUGACAGUAAUGCUACCGUUUGCGGAAGUUAGGGAUGGUCUUGGGCUAGAGGACAAGAUUGCAGACAAGGGCCUUGCAGUUGAUCAGACUAACCAUAAUGCAAUAGUUGGUGGACAACCUACUAACGCAGCGGAGAUCAAUGCAGAUCUUGCGGACAAUGACUCUAUGUCGAGGACAAGCAACCGUUUGGAUGGGCUUCUGGCACCAGCAAAAAGAAAAUAG